Molecule: non-coding RNA, 313 nt
Organism: Podarcis lilfordi (Lilford's wall lizard)
Lineage: Eukaryota; Metazoa; Chordata; Lepidosauria; Squamata; Lacertidae
Source: the annotation of a GenBank genome assembly
GCAGGUGUCUUACAGCGACAUCUGUCACCCCAUUGAUCACCAGGGUGGAUUCGGCUGAUCUGGCUGGCUAGGCGGGUAUCCCCUUCCUCCCUCACUGCUCCAUGUGCGUCCCUCCUGAAGCUGCACGCUUGGUGGAAGAAGACGACCAUCCCAGAUAGAAGGAGUGUACCGUUCUUCAGUCAAGGGUAUACGAUAGCUGCGCUCCCCUGCUAGAACCUCCAAACAAGCUCAACUUCCUCCUCCUUAACCCCCCUAUUUUUUUUUUUUUUACUUCUUUUUAUUAGUUUCAAUUCACUAUACAACACCAAACAAU